GCCACAUUAUGUUGAAAACCCGGUUACUUUACGAUCUCUGAAGUUAAGCAACGUCAAACCUGGUUAGUACUUAGAUGGGUGAACGCUUGGGAAUGCAAGGUGCUGUGA
Acanthosepion pharaonis is the source of this 108-nucleotide non-coding RNA. The record is from the annotation of a GenBank genome assembly. NCBI's taxonomy places the organism in Eukaryota, Metazoa, Mollusca, Cephalopoda, Sepiida, Sepiidae.